GAUGAACGCUGGCGGCGUGCCUAAUACAUGCAAGUCGAGCGAACGGACGAGAAGCUUGCUUCUCUGAUGUUAGCGGCGGACGGGUGAGUAACACGUGGAUAACCUACCUAUAAGACUGGGAUAAAUUCGGGACACCGGAGCUAAUACCGGAUAAUAUUUUGAACCGCAUGGUUCAAAAGUGAAAGACGGUCUUGCUGUCACUUAUAGAUGGAUCCGCGCUGCAUUAGCUAGUUGGUAAGGUAACGGCUUACCAAGGCAACGAUGCAUAGCCGACCUGAGAGGGUGAUCGGCCACACUGGAACUGAGACACGGACCAGACUCCUACGGGAGGCAGCAGUAGGGAAUCUUACGCAAUGGGCGGAAGCCUGACGGAGCAACACCGCGUGAGUGAUGAAGAUCUUCGGAGCGUAAAACACUGUUAUUAGGGAAGAACAUAUGUGUAAGUAACUGUGCACAUCGUGACGUGACCUAAUCAGAAAGCCACGGCUAACUACGUG
RNAcentral lists this ribosomal RNA (497 nucleotides) under uncultured bacterium. RNAcentral describes it as "partial 16S ribosomal RNA". It matches the Rfam family "Bacterial small subunit ribosomal RNA", at positions 28 to 507 of the family's 1533-position model. The record is from RNAcentral.